RNAcentral lists this unclassified non-coding RNA (658 nucleotides) under Hevea brasiliensis (rubber tree). The record is from RNAcentral. Lineage: Eukaryota; Viridiplantae; Streptophyta; Magnoliopsida; Malpighiales; Euphorbiaceae.
GGCUGGCCUUGAUUCUGAUAAUUCCAAUGUACUUUUGUCUUCUAUGUGUGCUCCAAUUGUACCCAGUAACAGAGAGGUAGCAGAGGCAGGACAUACUUGUUCCAACAGUGUCCUGUCAUUGGAAUCAACAGACUUUGGAAUGGAAACCAUUGAUGUGUCAGACAAGGUGAAGCUUGAGGACAGCUGUGUCAUUGUGGACAAUAGUAUGCUUUAUGAAGUCUCUCGUAGAACCCACAAACUCAGAUCAUACAAGAAAAAAAUCCAGGAUGCCUUUACUUCUAAGAAGAAGCUCAGCAAGGAGUAUGAGCAACUAGCAAUUUGGUAUGGAGACCUUGAUAUAGAGGGCAGCCAUGAUACAUUGCAGGGCCAGUUGCAAUCUGGCACCACUGUAACCUUGGACUCUGAUUUCCGAAUGCAUCAUAUGCAUGACUCUGAAUGGGAGCUAUUGUAAAAAACUCAAGAAGUCUAACGUUGAUAACAGCCCGUGGUUGGGCAGCCUAUUCUUCAGGUAAGCAAGUUCAAGAUGAUGUCACUCCUUGUGAAUAACCAUAGUUGACGGCUCCCACUUCUAGUAAAUAGAUACAGAAUAAUAAUUUUUAGGCAAUAAUUUAUCAAAAUUCUGAUUAUGAAAAGUUGCUACAAAAUUCAACUUAUAUGU